Molecule: long non-coding RNA, 261 nt
Filed under: Carica papaya (papaya)
Lineage: Eukaryota; Viridiplantae; Streptophyta; Magnoliopsida; Brassicales; Caricaceae
Description: long non-coding RNA (CPAP_LNC015167)
Source: RNAcentral
CAAAACCAUGACAGGAUCCUAUGACUAUGCAUGUGCUAACCACAGUGGUCCUAUCAGAUAGUCUAUAGCUAUGGUAGUACUUCGCGAAAGGUGACCCCUAACAGAUAACUAGCAUCACCACUCUCGUUAGAGGGUAUGCCGUCAUCCAUAGGGAGCGGUUCUCUCAUGUCUUUUCAGACUAGAUGGAGGAGGGAGGAAAAUAGAAACUCCUCAGAGAUAAUAAAGGUAACGAAAUACUUAAUACAUUAUGAAUGUCAAUAU